UCGGAAAACUGAAUUCAGGUCUAUGCCUAUAUGAUUGGCUUACAAUUCCAUGCAUGACUCGAUUCCAUUGUUUGAUGCUCCAUCCAGCUCUAACUCUUCCAUAUAACAAGACAUACUUUGUAUCACUCUUCACAUCUUCUCAUUGAUGGCAAAAACAUGACUAUUGUGGCAACUACGCCACCGCUUCAUAUCCAAACACAAGAUGGAAGAUGGGAAGUACCUGUCAGCAUCUCCCUUACUCCCAAGAUUAUGCUUCCGCCUCUCUUUUCUCCCCUUCUCCUGAUUCUUUUUGUCAAACAAACAACAUGAGUUGAAACUCAACCAAGCAAAACAGAAAAGACAAAGAAAAUAUAAAAAGCAUGAGUAAACCUUAUAUCACUUAAAUGCAAAAUCAGGGAUAUCGUGGGUGCCCUGCCGCUGAUUAUGUUGCACUUGUUGGACAGCUCAACCUGCACACCAUGUGAAAUUACCUAGAAGGUUCAGCUCUGGUGGUUCUGCAAGCAAAUAUCUUGUCUGGAUAUAAUAGUUCUUGGGACAAACCUGAAAACUUUAUUAGAUGCCUCUAUGCACUAUGAGGCCUUGCAGUUUUAGGUCGCCCCAACAGUAUGGGCAUGGAAAUCAGGUAUCAACCUGAAAUUAUGUAGGAAGAUUCUAUAUAUUUUUGUAGGUGGAAGAAGAAAUUUCGAUUAGUAGUUGCCACAGGUAUAUAUGUACUGAAGCAUUGUACAUACUGUAUUAUAUAUCAAUCCAGUAAAAGUGGCGACAAGGCUAUCCAUAUUGCAACAUUUUACAAAUACUAAGAUAUUUGGUCAAGAUAACACAUCGAUUCACAAAACCAUGUCCCCAAAAGUGAGAUCAUCCUUCUGCAUAUUUGCACGGCAGCACAUUAUAGUCAGACAUAUGGAAGAAUUAUUUGCAUGCCGAAAUCAUACCAUUAGAAUCCGUUAAUAUGAAGAAAUAUAUACUUUUCUAAUGUACUUCAAUCAUCAAAAGCAUACUGGUUAAGAAAUAGGAGUUAAUCUGAAGCAUGUGUCUUGUUCUUAACUUCUCUCUGGCUGUUGCUCACUCCUCCUUCCAGUAUUAUACUCUGUUGACAUCCUCUUUCAGAAACACAUUCAGUCAUGGGGCAGCAGCAGCAUGAUCAUAAGGCUUUGGAUAUUGCUAGAAAGAAUCACAUAACGGUCAUUCAUGGGGCAGCAGCAGCCUGACCUGUUCAAUACCAAUUUGGACGCAUUCACAACCUAAAAAAACACGGUUGGUGAUCUGC
This 1267-nucleotide long non-coding RNA is filed under the name Triticum aestivum (bread wheat). RNAcentral describes it as "long non-coding RNA (TAES_LNC018473)". The record is from RNAcentral. Lineage: Eukaryota; Viridiplantae; Streptophyta; Magnoliopsida; Poales; Poaceae.